Molecule: non-coding RNA, 23 nt
Filed under: Cricetulus griseus (Chinese hamster)
Lineage: Eukaryota; Metazoa; Chordata; Mammalia; Rodentia; Cricetidae
Source: RNAcentral
UUUUGGAGGGGAACUGAAUGUGC